GCCAGCAGCAAUAUCAGCCUGCAGCUCUCAACUGCCUUCCUACCCAGUGAAACUAAGCAGGGUUGAGCCUGGCCAGUACCUGGAUGGAAGACUCCUGGGAAGCUAUGGUUGCUGCUGGAA
Molecule: ribosomal RNA, 120 nt
Filed under: Lepisosteus oculatus (spotted gar)
Lineage: Eukaryota; Metazoa; Chordata; Actinopteri; Semionotiformes; Lepisosteidae
Source: RNAcentral